RNAcentral lists this ribosomal RNA (465 nucleotides) under uncultured bacterium. RNAcentral describes it as "partial 16S ribosomal RNA". It matches the Rfam family "Bacterial small subunit ribosomal RNA", at positions 28 to 507 of the family's 1533-position model. The record is from RNAcentral.
GACGAACGCUGGCGGCGUGCUUAACACAUGCAAGUCGUACGGUAAGGCCCUUUCGGGGGUACACGAGUGGCGAACGGGUGAGUAACACGUGAGUAACCUGCCCACAACUUUGGGAUAACGCUAGGAAACUGGUGCUAAUACUGGAUAUGUGCCCCUGCUGCAUGGUGGGGGUUGGAAAGCUCCGGCGGUUGUGGAUGGACUCGCGGCCUAUCAGCUUGUUGGUGGGGUAGUGGCCUACCAAGGCGGCGACGGGUAGCCGGCCUGAGAGGGUGACCGGCCACAUUGGGACUGAGAUACGGCCCAGACUCCUACGGGAGGCAGCGGUGGGGAAUAUUGCACAAUGGGCGCAAGCCUGAUGCAGCAACGCCGCGUGCGGGAUGACGGCCUUCGGGUUGUAAACCGCUUUCAGCAGGGACGAAGCUUUUUGUGACGGUACCUGCAGAAGAAGCACCGGCUAACUACGUG